Etheostoma spectabile (orangethroat darter) is the source of this 74-nucleotide non-coding RNA. The record is from the annotation of a RefSeq genome assembly. Lineage: Eukaryota; Metazoa; Chordata; Actinopteri; Perciformes; Percidae.
AGUGCUGUGGCUUAGUUGGUUAAAGUUCCUGUCUGGGAAACAGGUGAUCCUGGGUUCAAUUCCCAGUAGCACCU